CUGGCUUCCUUCAGUGGCGGUCUGCUCCCUUUAAAUGCAUUAGUGGGAUCCUUUGUGGAUCGGUUCACUUGGUGUGAUAAUAUAUCUACGCCGCUUGUACUGCGAAGCAAAACUUAUGGGAACCUGCUUAUAACCGUCUAGCAAUAGACAACUUUUGAACCUUUAACCUCAAAUCAGGUAGGACUACCCGCUGAACUUAA
This 200-nucleotide unclassified non-coding RNA is filed under the name soil metagenome. RNAcentral describes it as "partial contains internal transcribed spacer 2 and large subunit ribosomal RNA". The record is from RNAcentral.